GCACGGGUGCGUAACGCGUAUGCAAUCUACCUUAUACAGGGGAAUAGCCCAGAGAAAUUUGGAUUAAUGCCCCAUAGUGUUAUUGAAUCGCAUGGUUUAAUAACUAAAGUUCCAACGGUAUAAGAUGAGCAUGCGUCCCAUUAGUUAGUUGGUAAGGUAACGGCUUACCAAGACAAUGAUGGGUAGGGGUCCUGAGAGGGAGAUCCCCCACACUGGUACUGAGACACGGACCAGACUCCUACGGGAGGCAGCAGUGAGGAAUAUUGGUCAAUGGGCGCAAGCCUGAACCAGCCAUGCCGCGUGCAGGAAGACGGUCCUAUGGAUUGUAAACUGCUUUUAUACAGGAAGAAACCCUCCCACGUGUGGGAGAUUGACGGUACUGUAGGAAUAAGGAUCGGCUAACUCCGUGCCAGCAGCCGCGGUAAUACGGAGGAUCCAAGCGUUAUCCGGAAUCAUUGGGUUUAAAGGGUCCGUAGGCGGUCUUAUAAGUCAGUGGUGAAAUCCCAUCGCUCAACGUUGGAACUGCCAUUGAUACUGUAAGACUUGAAUACUUAGGAAGUAACUAGAAUAUGUAGUGUAGCGGUGAAAUGCUUAGAUAUUACAUGGAAUACCAAUUGCGAAGGCAGGUUACUACUAAGUGAUUGACGCUGAUGGACGAAAGCGUGGGGAGCGAACAGGAUUAGAUACCCUGGUAGUCCACGCCGUAACGAUGGAUACUAGCUGUUCGGAGCAAUCUGAGUGGCUAAGCGAAAGUGAUAAGUAUCCCACCUGGGGAGUACGCACGCAAGUGUGAAACUCAA
Molecule: ribosomal RNA, 800 nt
Filed under: uncultured bacterium
Lineage: Bacteria
Description: bacterial SSU rRNA
Rfam family: Bacterial small subunit ribosomal RNA
Source: RNAcentral